CUAGAGAGAUUAUUCUUUGUUAUCGUGAGAUAAUAGGAUAUUUGCUGUUUUAUGUUGACUUCAUGUUUUUACUUUUUGAAACCCAAACGUUUGAGUAUGGGCUCUGCCCUCUACCUAUAGACUUUUAGUCCCGUAGCUCAGUUGGUUAGAGCACUACACUGAUAAUGUAGGGGUCCGCAGUUCAAAUCUGCGCGGGACUACUACUUUUUAACGUUUGAAACAGAUGACUAGCUCAAUGGCAGAGCGUCCCGAUAGAGAUCGGGAAGACAAUCGGUUCGACUCCGUGCAUCAUCACAGCUUCCGGUUUACCGGAAACAAGUUCUUUGACAUAUUGAAAUGAAAGAAAAUACAUAAAUAAGCUUGAUGUUGUUCAUUUAACAUCGAGUUCAAC
RNAcentral lists this transfer RNA (391 nucleotides) under uncultured Bacteroidota bacterium. RNAcentral's name for it is "uncultured Bacteroidetes bacterium 16S-23S ribosomal RNA intergenic spacer". The stretch from base 127 to 200 matches the Rfam family "tRNA". Lineage: Bacteria; Pseudomonadati; Bacteroidota. The record is from RNAcentral.